UAAGAACUAGUGAGUGCAAUUUUUCCACUGUAAUUUUUGCAUUUUCUGGGCAAAAAAAAAUGAUUAGGAGCAGAUGGUAAAACUGGCUCCACAUUUUAUAAUAACUCAAGAACUCAGCUCCAGGCUCUUCAAAGACUGACUGACCGCUAUGCUAACUUCCAAGUUACCUGUCAUUGAUGUACUUACUGAAAUCAGAAUUGGAAGCAAAGAGCCAGGUCAUAGAAGGGUAAAAAUAAACAUAUGAAACAAGAAUCUGGAUAUUUCCAAUAAAAUCUGGUGUCAGAAGUACUAGCUCUUCAUCCUACCUUGCCAAUAUUUUGAAGUAUAUGAAGAAAAGGGAGAAAUGAAUAAUGGUUAGCCUACUGGUGAGUGGCUGAGACAUCAGCCUUCAUUUCUUUUUCUUUUUUUUCCCUGGGGCAAGGUGAUGCACCCGAUCUUCUUGACCCUGAACUACAAGUAAAUGAGCUAAAGGUCCUUAUAAUUAGCAAUCAAUACCCAAUUAGUGUAAGUCUAGUUGGGGAAAGGGAAAAUAAAUCCUUAGAGAAGACAACGUUUUAGUUUGUUCUUUAAGUUAUUUAGCUUUCUUAUUGUUCUCUUGGAGACUUCCAAGAGAAAGAUAGAGAAGAGAAGGUUAAAGAAUCCCAGAGGUAAGAGUUCACAUUAAAGGAUGAUAUAUGUACUGAAAAAUAGGUUAAGAUUUCUGUAUUUGAGUCCUUUCUGAAACCCACCUGCUCUUCAUGAGAACAGGGGGCUUAGGAAGAUGAGUAGAUGGGAGACACUCCAGCUGUUCCUAUAACUCUAAUUCUGUCUUGCUGAAGGCUCACUCAUAGAGAUAAAUCACUCUCAUUACCUGUCCUUGAGGAAUGAAGUUUCUCCUUGUUUCAAAUGAAGAAAUGAAAGAGGAGUCCUGGAAAUUCAUUCUGGAAGUCUGCCUCUCCAGCUAUACUCUGCUGUAGGUCACUCAUGAGAAUUAACGAUUAUAUUAACUUUUAUCCAUAAAUUGAUAUGGAAAAAUCAGCAUUUAGGAGAUGAGAAGCUUGUGUAGUUCUAACGUGAUGUGAGGAAUAGGCUGGCUAAUCUAAAACUGACAGGCACUGAGCACUCUCAGCUUCCUGCCCCAUUUGACAUCAUCGGUUUAUGGGAAGAUACCCUCAAAGCAUAGCACAGUACAGUUUAAACAUGCAUCUACUGAGAUAUGGCCAAGGACCUGUGCUCUCUGGGAGAAGAUGGUUAUAUUUAAAGCCAUUUAGUUUUGUACAUGGUAGUUAUAAAGGUGGGGGCAUUAAGUCAAGGUUUUGAUAUUUGUUUUCUCCCACCCAAGUGCUAACCAGGUCCAACCCUGCUUAGCUUGCAAGACCAGACAAGAUCUGGUACGUUCAGGAUGAUCUGGAUGUAGACUUGAUACUUGUUUUCUAUGCCUCUCAUUUACUGGAUUCCUCCAUUAUCUAUGCUGAUGACCCAUUGUCAUGUAUUAUCUUUGCUAAGGUUGAGGGGAAAGGGUAAAAGCACCAUGACAGGACAGUUAGAGUUGGUGGUCAUGCUCAGAGUUCUGUUAAGAGGUACCUGUUUAUAAACUGAGUAGGAUUCAUUUUGCAUUCCACACUUAUACUGUAUACAGUCAACCCUGCAUAUCCAUGGGUUCCACCUCCAUAGACUCAAUCAACUGUAGAUUGAAAGUAUUUUUAAAAGUUGUGCCAGUACGAAACUUGUUUACACAUUUUCCCUGUCAUUAUCGCCCAAACAAUACAGUAAAACAAUUAUUUACAUAGCAUUUAGAUUGUAUACGGUAUUAUAAGUAUUCUAGAGAUGACAAAGCAUACAGGAGAAUGUGCAUAGGUUAUAAGCAAAUACUACUCCAUUUGAUAUCAAGGCCUUGUGUAUCUUCAGAUUUUAGUAUCUGUGGGAGGUCCUGGAACCAAUCCUUCAUGGAUACCAAAGUACAACUGUGUAUGGUUAUCAUAUAGAUGAGCAAUACUAUCUCGAUCUAAAACAGAACUAUAUAUAGUUCUAUUUUAAUCUAUGAAUCCAAAUAUGACAAAACAUUUAGUUCUUUUGAGGCCAUUCGAGGUCACUGUAGGCCACAAUUUCCCGAGCAUCUUAUAAAACCCUUCUAGCACUUCUUUUUUAACUUGAGAAUUGCUUGCCCUUCUGUUCCCUUCCUGCAGUUGAUCAGAUGGUCAGGAGGACUUCCUAGAUCUAUAUCUCAGAGUUUUGUUUUGUAUUUGUGGUGGAUUAGGUCAGGGACCAUAACCAAGAUCAUGUGUGUGUUUGUGGUCAGGUGAGGGAGAUUCCAGCCCUGUUCUGGGGACUGCACUGUGGAGAAUGAGAUUAUGAAACUUGGAAGUAAAACAGGACCAUGGAGAGCAACAAGAAAAGCCUGGUGUGUCACUGUCAGGGGCUAGCACCAUGGAGAGCUCAAAGCACAGGUAUAACGGUUUGCUCCACAAAGUACAGGGGAACUGGGAUCAUGGGGUAAGGCAGACAGCUCUCAAGCACAGGAACUAAAAGAACAGACAUCAUGGUUUCUACUAGAAUCACUCUACGUUCAUCACUUGCUCUGUAAGGUCUCCUUGAAAUGCUUUGUUUGAACCCGUCAGGUUGAUAUACAGCCAAGAGACUGUGCUGAAAAAUGAGGACCACCACCAGACUGAGUUUGUCAACAUUAGCCUCUGCGAUUAUGUUGCCUAGAUAUUAGUGGUGAUGGAGGGGCUUUUAAUGUGCUACAACUUAUCAUGAGUAAAAUUAGGCCUAUCUUCUAAAGAGGGAACAGAGAGCCCGUGCCCCCUAAGAGACAGUAGGGCACAAGAAAGUCAAAAUGUGUAUUUUCAUCAGGUAAGGUAUGAGAUGUCUCAGACUCAGAAUGCCCUAGUGUAUCCAGAAUUGCUGUAAGUAGUUCAGACAAUCAUACCUGGAAGAGAGGUAUGGAAUCAUGCCUCUUAAGAAGAAUACUGUUCUCAGGAUUUAGAAGUCUCUCUUUUGGGAAAUGUGAUGACUUAAGGCUUAGGAAAAUUUUGGUGAAGAAAGAGAUGAUUAUUUAGUACUUGCUGCUUCAUUGAAGAAUAUGUACCUUUACUUCUUAGUAUCUUAGUUUCUAUUUUGUAAAAAUCACAAAGCUUCAUGUGUUCAAGCCUCCUGAGAGUUUGACUUCUCUGUACUAGAAGGGAUGGAUCUCCUCAUCAUAUAUAACAGGAUUGGACUGGGUUUUUACUUGGGUAGUUAUUGGCGCCCUGGGCACCAGGUGGUUCUGAUCUUGUAAAAAAAAAAUCACUACUGCUGAUCCUAGAGGCAGAAACAGGUCUCUAGCCCUGAAAACUUGUGCUUCUUCAUUUUAUGAUGACAUGGAUUGUUUAUACUUAAUCUCAGCAAGCUUUUAGAAAUGGGAUAUUUUUCUGAUGGCUUGCUUCUCCGGGGUCUUUUUCUGAUGGUUUGCUUCUCUGUGUCUUUUGUAAGCAUUUCUGCGGGGAUUGCUAUUCUCACAGAUUAUGGGUGGACCUCUAAAACAUGACCCCAUACAGGAAACAAAAUGUUCUAGUGCACGGGCCGAUAGCCAGUGGUUAAACAUGAAAUAUUACAUUCUAACAUGAAAAAUAAAAGAAGAUGUAAUUACCAAAACUUUAUAACUUUGAAUUUUUCACUCAGUAGUCAGUAAGGAGCUGGUCCAGUGUACAGCUUGCUUUCAACAAGAAUCUGGAACCUAGUAAGGAGCUGGUCCAGUGUACAGCUUGCUUUCAACAAGAAUCUGGAACCUAGAUCACCAUCCUUAGGCAAAAUUCCAUUACUGAGAAUUAGAUGACAAAAAGGGGAUAGUUGAGCCAGUAGGCAUUUCCACCGGAGUAGGAAACAGCAAAGAAUGAGACUAGUCACAGCCCCAGGGGUUUUACUUCUCUGGUGAUACUGUGAAGAUUUUUCUUCCUACCAUGUGAUUUAACGAAAAGAAACUUUCGAUUGAAUUUUACGUAUUAUUUGACUGCAAGAAAGUAGUAACAGCAAGGAGUACCGAAAUCAAAUCUAAGAAUUUACAGAGCAAUGGCACAACUACUCAGUUAGUUAUUUCAAAGUAACCAGAACACCAAAGAGAUGCUGUGUGUGGAAUUUUAUGGCUGCAGAACUAUGAGUCACUCUCUUCAAGUGAAUAGCGAAUAUCUCCAACAAGGUACUCUUGCAAUUAGAUUGGACUUCCUUUCUUCUUCAGUUGGAAGAGGAAGGAGAAAGAGCCUGGGGGUAGUAAGCUGGCUCAUUCUAUCAGUCUAGUACGGAGGAUUUUGAACUGUAUGGUAGAACCCCAGGUAGUUCCUUAAGGAUUAUAGGAAUGUGUAAAAGCCAGUAAGACAGGGAAAAGAUAUAUAGGUCUUAUUUCAUUAUCUCAGCCAUAGCAAUUCUUCUUUGGUAUGUUUUACUUAUUUGUUAAAAAUGUCUCACAGCUUUGUUUUAAAAACAAAAUGAGAAAACUGCUGCCCUAGGGGAAACUAUUCAAACCAACAGUGCUAUCCAGAUUAUGGAGAAGCUUGGAAUAGAAUGAUACAACUGCUGGGUAGGCAGCUGACAUUCCAUAGAUUGGGACCUACAUCAAACAGACUGGUUCUUCAUGGGAUGAACUAAACUCUGCUAUACGAGUGUCUCUGUGAUGAUCUUAACUUUUCCAUCCCAGAAAAUGCACAUGUCUAAAAGGAGAGCAUAUCUUUCCCAAGAGUUACAGCUGCAACUAGGAGAACAGGAACAGAAACAGAACAGUUACAGCUGCGACUAGGAACAGAAACUGGCUGGAGUUGAUCUGCCAAACAGAUCUGUGGGCAGCACUAGAGUGAAUGCCUGCUGGACUUCUGUGGCACAUAGGGCAUGAUAUCCUCACUGGGCAUCUGGCCAGGGGCCUGCAGAAUGGAUGGUCAUGGACAGAGGUCAUUGAGAAGAAAUAGAUGUUCAUGUGUGGGGCAGUGCAGUACAAGGUUAAAUUGCGAUAACCUUAUCUGAAACAAAGAGAAGCUAUCCAUCUGUCUUUACCCUAGGUCAACUCACAGGAAAUAACUUGAAAAGGGAGAGCCCAAGAAAACUGGUCAUGGUGUUGAGUAUUGGGCUGUUCACCAGAGAGAGGACACAUUAAAUUCAUAAGAUUUGUGUUAUCCAAAUCUGGAAUUGUCAACUUCUGUGAAUACUAGUGAGAAGGAAGGGUGGAUGGCACAUUCUAAAUGUCUUACCCAUUCCUCAACUUCUAGCCACAACACUCAUGGCCAGUCUUAGAUAUCAGUUGCUUGCCCUCUCAAUCUCUGUUCAGCCUUAUGAAGCUUAAAAAAUUUAUGCUGUACUCCAGGAAACAAUAUGCCCCAGCAGCAUAUAAAGUUUGUUUUCUUAUUCUAAAUGAAAAUGGAUAUGCUGCCACAACACUCUUGACAAUUCAAGCAUCAGCAUAAGAGUAUCUUGUCCUUAUACCAUCACACCGCCUGUCUCAUAGUUUUGGUCAAACACUACCAGUUAAAGAUAAAUACGGCCUAGCCUUCUUCCCAGGGGCCUCAGGCCAUCUCGGGGGUACUAGACACACCUCCAUGAUCCUGGGCAAAAUAGUCUUCAGGAUUACUAUCUCUAAGCAUUAAAUCUGUGCAUUUACCUCCCACUAUCAGCGCUAGCCUUCUUAGAUCCAGAAACUAAAAGACACAAUUAAUCUAAGAUAGAAGAUAUGGUGGUUAUGUCUCAUGCAUCAGCAUGUUCUGAGAUACUGCACACCAGACAGAUGUCCAUUUUCUGUAAAGAUAGUGCUCAACAAGGAAAAUGAUGCUUGAUUUGACUCCUUUUUGGAAACAGACCCCUGCUGUUUAUCUCCCAUUUCCCCACCUCUCCUCUAGAAAUUCCCCAUUCAGAAGUUACUGCCUUCCACUGUUUCUCUCAGGCCACUGCUCUGAAACAUAUUUCUAAAUAUGAUAGAACGUUCCUCUUCCUCUCAACUUUAAGCCUGAAUAGGGGCUGAGCCCCCAAUUUGAGGACCAAGAAAGAAGAGUGUAGUUGGUGAAGAAAGACUUGGCUAGUAUACUGAUUUACUCUAGUCUAUAGUUUUUUUACAUCUUAGAGUAGAAGAGCUCACAGCUUUCUGGAUGACGUCUUUCUUUUUGGGGCCCAGCCUAGCACCAUCAGUUCCCAUUACUGAACAGUUGCAGUUUGGAUCGUAUUUGCCUCUCUUUAUGAAACUCAGCAGGUAAGGAAGGCCAGGGGCUGCAGCUGAAAGUCAAGGCCUAGUAGGAGGGUCAUUAUUGAGGCACAAACACCCAGCAGCCUCUCUGUCUCAAACUUAGCCUGCUCUCCCCAAGGACUCCCUCCAGCUCCUCAGUGAGUGGGGUCAUCAGUGCAGUCCUCUGGGGAAGGGGAUUCCACAUAGGGGAAAGAAGAGGCUGCUGUCUCUGUGGUGACUAGGGCGGGAACUCCCUUUGGGGAGUUUGAUGGGUAGAGGGCUGAAGGAGUCAGCCAGCCAACUUAAGGGAGGGGAUCCCCAGGGUCCCCAUACCAGAGGAAGCUCCUUUAUCAUGAUGGAGACAGGGCUGGGGGAGGUCAGGUGAGGUGGAGCGAUUAUUCCUCCAGCACCCUGGCUAUUCGCCUGUUUUCCUCAGAUGAAAUUCUCUACAUCAUCCUCCCCAGUUUCAACCCCUCCCCUCUCCACCCCCGCCCCGCCCUGUGCCCAUCCCUGCUGGCCACUGGGUCCAUCGCCCAGGAGCCACCUCCCCUUUCUCCUCCCCUGCGGUUCUUUCUGUUUUUCGUUGGCAUCUGGCCGGGCACAGCCACCACCCUCCCCCUUCACUCUCCCUACUUCCCUUUGCUCCACAGAGGUCCUGUUCCCUCUCCCCCUUCCUCCAUCCCAGCCUUCCUCCUCUUCCUACCGGGCGGAGGAGAGAGGAAGAUGCAUUCCUUUAGUCUCUUCACAGCUUGCUCUCCCUCCCCAGGGACCUGAGGCUCUGAGCUGUGGCCCCCUUCCGGGUUUCCCUACAGGCUGCCCCUCUGCCAUCCCACUAACCGUUUGUAGCCUUUAAGAAAGCUGAGGUGCCCCCACAGCGCUGACCUACAUAGCCUGGCCCAGGGCGGGAGGGGCUCUUCCCCAAGUCCCCUCACCCCUGGCCCCUCCUCCUUUCUCCUCAGACUCCCCUCCUUCAUCUCUCUACCAUCAGGAACCUAAAAGAAGGUUUGAGUUCCAGACUGGGGCAAAGGGGCUAGGUAUGCUACCUCAUCCAAAAUCUGGGAAAAUCAGUGCUUAGCCCUGAAAAUUUGGGUUUCCCAUGCAUCCUCCUCCCCAAAUAUCUUGAUCCUUUCUUUUGCUCCCUCCCACCCCCACCCCGCCUCUGCCCCUGUCUGGAUUUCUUUUCCCAGCUUCUACCACUGCCAGGGAUGUUGCCAUCCUGGGCCCCCUCCGCCCUGUGUUGUUGUUUUGCUCCAAGGAUAAGGGCCCCCUUCUUUGCCCACGCCCCCCUCAGCAGCCUCACCCAGGCCCCCUUCUCUGCCCACUCGGCGCUGGGGCGCUGGGCCGCCGGUCUCGGUGGGGGACGGGCGGGGGAGCAGAAAUGUUUGCAUACAUCAGUUUGGGGGAUUGCACUGGCUACCAAACCCCUACAGACAUACAUACACAAACACCCGACAUACGCCCUGACUGAAACAGCGACAAAUCUCACUCCGCCCCCAACACACACCGACACAGACAUACACACAGAUACUGACACAGAAACGCAGAGCCAGACACCAACACAGACGCGCGCGCACACGGACAGCAACACAGCCAGACCUCGGGCUGCUCAUAACGGACAUCAGCCGCGAGAGCCAAAGCCCGGUGCACACGCAGACACACGCUCGGUGGUGUACACAGAAGGGUGCACACGCCGGCACACCCACGGUCCACAGAGACACGGAUGCUCAGAGACAGACACAAGGAUAACUGGCCAUCAGAAAACAUUUAAAGAUGAAGAAAGAAGAAAAUCUGAACACAGACUGAGAAAACAAGGAAAUGAAUCUCAAACAUAAGCUUACUGGAUAUUUGAUGCCCGUGGCGAUGUUGGCAAACAGAUCUUGAAGAUAGACGGCCAGACAAAUGGAUGGAAACCAUGCCUGAGUCACUGCUUGGAAGAGAGCCACCAAACCAAGAGUGCUUACAUUCGACUGGAAUGUGAGCAAAACAUUCUUUUGUGUGUGUGUGUGUGUGUGUGUGUGUGUUCAGCCGUUGGGAAUUUUGGCUGAUAUAGCAACUAGUGUCACUGAGAUUAAUACAGCCACUGUUACUAGUAAACUUUCUCCUGAGAUGACUCUGUGGUCUGCAGAUUGAGAUCUGCUGGCCUUUUUUCUUGAUCUGUAUGCUUUUCUCUUUACCUCUCUCCCCAGAUUCUUUCUGCUUUCCCUGCAAUCAUGUCUUCAGAUGAAUAAUGAAAUCAACAAAGAGCAAGGGAACAGAGGAGUAAUGAUUAUUUCAUUAAUUGAUUUUAUUUUUCUGCUUAAUUUGACAGCAUGGGAGCAGCCAAGGAGCUGGGUGGAAAGCAAGGACAGGUGCUUGUGGGCUUAAACUCCUGAGCUGGAAGUGGAAAAGGUAUAAACAGUAAAGACUUUACGUUUCAGUGACAUGAUUUUAAAUCGAGAGCCAAGACAAAGGGUGCUUUCUCACCACUUUGCAUCUAUAGGAUCAGUUUCUUGUUUAUUUCCGACUUUCUAGUUGGCAGAGUACCCUUGAAAUGUCAGCUUUGUCAGUGGAGCACGCUGAGUCAUUACUAGGUCUACAACAUCGGCACAGGAUGCUCAGGGAGUUGCUUCUACCUAAAACCAAGCUGUGUGCUGGGAGCCUAGGUAUAGAUACCUGUAUAGGAGAGAAAACUGAAAGCACAGGUGUUGAAGAAGGUCAAAAUUACACACACACAAUAAGAAAACCAAGAACCAAAAACUUAGAAAACACAACAACAAAAAAAGCAUGCUACAAAAACACAUCAAACUCGUCUCUGAGAUCUUAUAAUUUUCCAUUUAUAUAAAUUGUCUUCACAGGUACACUCACGACAUGAUCAAGUAGUGAUUGUACCUAAAACAAUUGUCAUACAGUGUUAUUUGAGCAGUAGUAUUGGGUAAUGGUUUCUAAAUGAAGAUUACUCCACAGUUACCUAGGGAUUAAGUGGCUUAACUGGAAUUGAAACAUGGUUUUUCAGGGCUCCCUCAAUGGUUUCCAUCACCAGUUUAUAUAGGCAAUAGAGAAUUCAUUUGUCUUGAAUAAUUCUUUAGCUUUCCACAGCCAAAUAUCUUGCUCCUGGGGAAAGAGCUUGCUCUGAUGUGUUGGAUUUUGGCUGAGAAUCUCUGGGUUUGAAUCUUGGCUCUGCCACUUACAAUCUUUAGGAGAACGGGUGAGUCACAACAUUUCUCUUUGCCUCAGUUUCUUUAUUAGUAAAAUAAGAACAAUCAUAGGGCUUACCGCAUAGAUUUCUCAAAGGAAUUAGAUGACCUAAUAGAUGUAAAUUAUUGGAACAGAAACUGCUAAAUCCAAAUUAGUUGUUGCUAGUGUUGUUUUUCUGUUGUGGGGUAAAUGCAUUUCCGUUGGAGCUUCGGUUUGACUGCAACUCAGUUGUACAUGCCUUAUGACUCAAGUUCCUUCAGCCUUCUCUACAAUGUAUUUACAGCACUGGAUGUCCAUAACCAGCCUUUCUUUCCGACAGUCAUAGCUGGGCUCUAGCCUUUUCUGUGGAGCUGUACUUCUUUCUCCUUCUCCCUUUCUCCAUUGAUUCUUAUCUUCCCUGCAAUUGGGUGCUUUCCCCUUAAUGGCAGUUUUGCACGUGCUAAUCCAAUCUUUUAGCUUUGGUUCAAGGGUUAUAAUGAUGAAGGAUUUUCAUCAAUUGGAAUAAGAAUACUUAAUGCUUAACAUUUUUCAGAGCCAGCUCUGUGGCAGAGAGGACAGUUUAGGAGAAAAAGACAGAACAAUAGCUGUGAUAAUGACACAGGCAAUCACAGAAGGGCAAGAGAACAAGCUGUCCUAGGAUGCUUGUGUAAGAAAAAUUGCACAUGUUGUCUUCCUAAUCAAAAGCUAUAAAAAAUUGACUGAAUUGCAUACUAAUAGAUACAUGACUGUACAAGAAAAGGAAUUAAGUGUCUUUUGCACACAGGACCUUUAAGUAUACAUCUUUUGGAGGCACAAUUUUUCAGAACAAAAGUACUCAAGGAAAUCUUAAACUUAACCCGUAGUUGUAUUGUUGCGAUUGUAAUUUUGAAAUUAUUUUAUGUACAUUCUAGAAUAAAGCAAAUAAGAGGUUAGUAACAUCAGAAUGCAACAUUUUCAAUGUAUGAGAAAAGAGGAACAAAUAUAUAAACAAAGGAAUUAGGAGGGGGAUAACUAUAAAAUCAAAUCUAAGUUGUAAAUAUUAGUAUGAACAUAAGAUUCUAUAUAACAUGCUGUGCAUAAUCUAUAUUAUUGCACGUAAUAUAUAUCAUGUAUUACGUGCAAUAUAAUUAAUCUAUAUAAUGUAACUAAUUUAUCUACAUAUAAUCUAUAAGUGUCUCUGUAUGUGUGAGAGUGUGUGUGGAGAAAGAGAGGGAUAAGGAAACAGUGGCACACACACACGCACGUGCGCACACAUACACACACACACACAAAGGGUAGGGGAGAGAAUGAAAAUACAUGCUUUAUCCAGUCUGUCCAGUGAAAGAACUUAGAAACCAUUAUGAUCCAAUAGUAUUGAGCACACCUGACACUAAGGUAUUUAUUGCUUUCUAAAAUAGCAUUCUCUCUAAAAAGAACUAGGGCUCCUUAUAGGAAUGGCUGAUUCUAGGUUUGAGACGGAAUAUUUACAGUGAUUGUAAGAUCUCUUAUUGUAUCAGGGAGUUUCUAGAGAACAAUUAGGGUCUUGACAAAAGGAUGCAGCUUGAAGGGGUUGUCACUGACUGAGUUUGGGACAAUACAAGCAUCAAAAAAAUAAUGUUUUUGAUUGAACAUAUUAAUAAAAAUGUCCAAGACCAAAAUGACAUUCAAAAGAAAAGAUAAAAUAUGAGAUUAUUUGCCACAAUAGAAGUUAUUAGUAUGCAAACUUCUUACUCUGAAAAUUAGUAAUUAAAAGGAAAUAAUUAAGCUGUACCCUGUUUGUAUUAGUCAGGACAGGUAGGUUAUGCUGCAGUAACAAACAACCUCAAAAUCUCAGCAGCUUGAAAUGAAAGAGUUUAUUUUCCACUUUCACUGCAUGUCUCUCCUGGAGUUACAAGUGUUCUGAUUCAUGUCAUCCUCACUGAGGGAGGCAGUUCGUGCUUUCACUCCUUGGUGCUUAUACCAACCAGUAAAAGAGGAGCAGAUCCCCAGGAGCCAUUGCUUCUUUAUUCGGAGUUCUGGUGGCAGAGAGAUGUAAUGCCAAACUAGGGACUGGAACAAAGCACACCAGAGCCACAGCUGGGCCUCAGCCAAAUCACAGACCUGUGAGCAAGAAAUCUGUGCAUACGCAAAUAAGAUACCAGAUUGUUUGUUACUGAUGCAAAAAUUGAUUAAUACACUCCCUAUGUAUGCAGAAGGAAAAAAAAACCCACACACCAGAAUAUUGGUAAAUAGCCCACAUGACUAUUAUAUUUCUUUUUUCUUUCUUUCUUUAUUAUACUUUAAGUUCUGGGGUAUGUGUGCAGAUCUUGCAGGGUUGUUACAUAGGUAUGCACAUGCCAUGGUGGUUUGCUGCCUCCAUUUCCCCUAUUACCUACAUUAGGUAUUUCUCCUAAUGUUAUCCUUUCCCAACCGCCUCACUCCCGGCUAUUGCUCCCUUAGCCCCUAACCCCUCCCCAACAGAUCUCAGUAUAUGAUGUUCCUCUCCCUGUGUCCAUGUGUUCUCAUUGUUCAACAUCCACUUAUGAGUGAGAACAUGCAGUGUUUGGUUUUCUAUUCUUGUGUCAGUUUGCUGAGAAUGAUGGUUUCAGAUUUAUCCAUGUCCCUGCAAAAGACAUGAACUCAUCCUUUUUUAAUGGCUGCAUAGUCUUCCAUGGUGUACAUGUGUCACAUUUUCUUUAUCCAGUCUAUUAUUGAUGGCAUUUGGGUUGUUCCAGGUCUUUGCUAUUAUGAAUAGUGCUGCAGUGAACAUACGUCUGCACACGUCUUUAUAAUAGAACGAUUUAUAAUCCUUUGGGUAUAUACUCAGUAAUGAGAUUGCUGGGUCAAAUGGUAUUUCUAUUUCUAGAUCCUUGAGGAAUUGCCACACUGUCUUCUACAAUGGUUGCAUUAAUUUACACUCCCAUCAACAGUGUAUAAGUGUUCCUUUUUCUCCAUAGCCUUCCAGCAUCUGUUGUCUCCAGAUUUUUUAAUGAUCACCAUUCUAACUGCCAUGAGAUGGUAUCUCAAUGUGGUUUUGAUUUGCAUUUCUCUAAUGACCAGUGAUGAGCAUUUUUUCAUAUGUUUGUUGGUCACAUAAAUGUCUUCUUUUGAAAAGUAGCUGUUCACAUCCUUUACCCACUUUUUGAUGGGGUUGUUUUUUUGUUUCUUUUGUAAAUUUGUUUUAGUUCUUUGUAGAUUCUGGAUAUUAGCCCUUUGUCAGAUGGAUAGCUUGCAAAAAUUUUUUCCCAUACUGUUGGUUGCUGGUUCACUCUAAUGACUGUUUCUUUUGCUGUGCAGAAUCUCUUAAGUUUGAUUAGAUCCCAUUUGUCUAUUUUGGCUUUUGUUGCCAUUGCUUUUGGUGUUUUAGUCAUGAAGUCCUUGCUUAUGCUUAUGUCCUGAAUGAUAUUGCUGAUGUUUUCUUCUAGGGUUUUUAUGGUGUUAGGUCUUAUGUUUGAGUCUUUAAUCCAUCUGGAGUUAAUUUUUGUAUGCAAAAAUCUUCAACAAAACACUGGCAAACCGAAUGCAACAGCACAUCAAAAAAUUUAUCCAUCACUAUCAAGUAGGCUUCAUAUUAGGGAUGCAAGCCUGGCAAAUCUAUAAAUGUAAUCAAUUACAUAAACAGAACCAAAGAGAAAAACUGCAUGAUUAUCUCUAUAGAUGUAGAGAAGGCCUUUGACAAAAUUCAAGAGCCCUUUAUGCUAAAAACUCUCAAUAAACUAGGUAUUGAUGGAACAUAUCUCAAAAUUAUAAAAGCUGUCUAUGACAAGCCCACAGCCAAUAUCAUACUGAAUUGGCAAAAACUGGAAGCAUUCCCUUUGAAAACUGGCACUAGAUAAGGGUGUUCUCUCUCACCACUCCUAUUCAACAUAGUAUUGGAAGUUCUAGCCAGAGCAAUCAGGCAAGAAAAAGAAAUAGAGUAUUCAAUUAGGAAAAGAGGAAGUCAAAUUGUCUCUAUUUGCAGAUGACAGGAUUGUAUAUUUAGAAGACUCCAUCGUCUUAGCCCAAAAUCUCCUUAAGAUGAUAUUAUAUUGCUUUUUAAAGGACGAGCUCUGUGAGUGGUGCAGAAGAUUCCCAGCUAAUAAGUGUAGAAGGAAUGAUACCAGUAGAAGUCACCAUUUUGAUAUCCUGAAAUAAUUGGUUCAGGAAAGAAUUAUCAAUGAAUUUUGGAGCCAUUAGGUAAAAGCUUUUUAGGAAAUAGAAUAUUUGGAUGAAGCCUAAGUACCACCCUACAAAUAUUUGCCUUAUAUAAUGGGUGAAGCGCCCUUUAAAAUGAAACUGUCAUCAUGAAACUAUGCCUCACUGAUAGUGGACAGCUUGGCAUUGUGUGCCUCCUGAGGUAAUUGAAGUAACAGGACUGCCUUUGAAGCACCCUUACCGCAAAUUUCAUCUGUGUGUCAUCAAGAUGUUUGUUCAGAUUCCCAUUACAUAAGGAGUACAGGAGACACAGGUUUGUGUUAAACAGUGCUAUGAGAUACAACAAUUCAGGAAUGUGGAAAUUUUAUAAAACUGUUGUUUGAGACUCUUUAACAUGCCAGUGUCAUGGGGAUAAAAAAGCACAGUCUGUGCUUUGUUUUAUUCUGGUUUAAAAUUAGCAAAAGAUAUAAAACAUCUAAAUGUAGUGCAUAAUCGUUGAUUGGAUUCUAGUUUGAAAAUGCUAACCACAAAUGAAUUUGUGGCUCAGUUUGGGAAAUUUGAAUAUGGCCUGGAUGGAGGAUAUCGGGGUAUAUUUGAUAAUGUUUCUGGGUAUGAUAAAGGUAUUGAGGAUAUAAGAUUUUUGUUAGCUUAGGAAACGUAUGCUGAUGUUGUUAUUGGCUAAAUGUCAUGGUAUUUUACCCAGUUUCAAAUGCCGCAUCAGUAAAUUUAUAUUGGGACACAAACAUACAUGCAGUUUUGCAGGUAAGGCAAAAUGUUAACAUUUAUUGCAUCUAAGUGAUGGGUAUAUCAGUUAUCUUAUUCUGUCCAAUUUAAAUUUGAAUUUAUUUGUCAUAAAGCUAGAAACGAAACAAAGCAAGACACUGCACGGAAAGUUUGUGUGUGUGUGUGUGUGUGAAGUUCAAAACUGUGGUUAAAAUGUCAUCCGGACCCAGAAGUCUAGUAAGGUAAGCAUGGCCUCCCCGUUUUCUUUAUCUUUGGUAUUCUUAACCAUUUUAUUUUAAAGGUUCUGAGCCUAAAUGCUUGCUCUUGAAUGUCUGUAUCUUUCAUAAUUUUCCUCAAACAAAGAAUAAUUUACUAAUUUAGGAGAAAGAGUUGAUAAUUACACUUUACUUGACUCAGGACCUCCUGAAGAAACCAUAUCUUACUAGAUGUCCUGGUGCUUUUCUGUUGUUGUUUUUUUUUAAUUGCAUUUUAGGUUUGGGGGUACAUGUGAAGAACUGCAAGAUUGUUGCAUAGGUACACACAUGGCAGUGUGAUUCGCUGCCUUCCUCCCUAUCACCUGUAUCUGGCAUUUCUCCCACGCUCUCUUUCCCCAACUCCCCACCACCCACUGUCCGUCCCCUAUUUCCCCCCGAUAGACCAUAGUGUGUGGUGCUCUCCUCCCUGUGUCCACAGGUUCUCAUUGUUCAAUACCCACCUAUGAGUGAUAUCAUGCAGUGUUUGAUUUUCUGUUCUUGUGUCAGUUUGCUGAGAAUGAUGGUUUCCAGGUUCAUCCAUGUCCCUACAAAGAACACGAACUCAUCAUUUUUGAUGGCUGUAUAAUAUUCCAUGGUAAAUAUGUGCCACAUUGUCCCUGUCCAGUCUAUCAUCGAUGGGCAUUUGGGUUGGUUCCAAGUCUUUGCUAUUGAAAACAAUGCUGCAAUAAACAUUUGUGUGCAUGUGUCCUUAUAGUAGAAUGAUUUAUAAUCCUUUGGAUAUAUACCCAGUAAUGGGAUUGCUGGGUCAAAUGGAAUUUCUAUUUCCUGGUUAUUGAGGAAUCGCCACACUGUCUUCCACAACGGUUGAAUUAACUUACACUCCCAUCACCAGUGUAAACGUGUUCCUGUUUCUCCAUAUCCUCUCCAGCAUCUGUUGUCUCCAGAGUUUUUAAUGAUUGCCAUUCUAACUGGGGUGAGAUGGUAUCUCAAUGUAGUUUUGAUUUGCAUUUCUCUAAUGACCAGUGAUGAUGCGCAUUUUUUCAUAUGUUUGUUGUCCUCAUGUAUGUAUUCUUUGUAAGUGUCUGUUCAUAUUCUUUGCCCACUUUUGAAUGGGCUCGUUUUUUUCUUGUAAAUCUGUUUUAGUCCUUUGUAGUUUCUGGAAAUCAGCCCUUUGUCAGAUGGGUAAACUGCAAAAACUUUUUCCCAUGCUAUUGGUUGCCGAUUCACUCUAAUGACUGUUUCUUUUGCUGUGCAGAAAGUGUGGAGUUUGAUUAGGUCCCAUUUGUCUAUUUUGGCUUUUGUUGCCAAUGCUUUUGGUGUUUUGGUCAUGAAGUCCUACCCUACACCUAUGUCCUGAAUGGUUUUGCCUAGGUUUUCUUUGAGGGUUUUUAUGGUGAUAGGUCUUCUGUUUAAGUCUUUAAUCCAUCUGGAGUUAAUUUUAGUGUAAGGUGUGAGGAAGGGGUUCAGUUUCUGCUUUUUGCACAUGACUAGCCAGCUUUCCCAACACCAUUUAUUAAACAGGGACUCCUUUCCCCAUUGCUUGUUUUUGUCAGGUUUGUCAAAGAUCGGAUGGUUCUAGAUGUGUGGUGUUACCUCUGGGGCCUCUGUUCUGUUCCAUUGGUCUAUAUCUCUGUUUUGGUACCAGUACCAUGCUGUUUUGAUUACUGUAGCCUUGUAGUAUAGUUUGAAGUCUGGUAGUGGGAUGCCUCUGGCUUUGUUUUUUUUUGUUUGUUUUUUUUUUUGCUUGGAAUUGACUUUGCUAUGCAGGCUCUCUUUUAGUUCCAUAUGAAGUUUAAGGUGUUUUUUUUCCAGUUCUGUGAAGGUUAUUGGUAGCUUGAUGGGGAUAGUGUUGAAUCUGUAAAUUACUUUGGAUGGUAUAGCCUUUUUCACAGUAUUGAUUCUUCCUAACCAUGAACAUGGAAUGUUUAUCCAUCUGUUUGUGUCCUGUCUUAUUUUGUUGAGCAGUGGUUUGUAGUUCUCCUUGAAGAGGUCCUUUUUAUCCUUUGUUAGUUGUAUUCCUAGGUGUUUUAUUCUCUUUGUAGCAAUUGUGAAUGGCACUUCGUUCUUGAUUUGGCUCUCUUUAAGUCUGUUACUGGUGUAUAGGAAUGCUUGUGAUUUUUGCACAUUGAUUUUGUAUCCUGAGACUUUGCUGAAGUUUCUUAUCAGUUUCAGGAGAUUUUGGGCUGAGACGAUGGGAUCUUCCAGAUAUACAAUCAUAUAGUCUGCAAAUAGAGACAAUUUGGCUUUCUCCUUUCCUAUUUGAAUACUCUUUAUUUCUUUAUCUUGCCUGAUUGCUCUGGCUAGAACUUCCAAUACUAUAUUGAAUAGGAGUGGUGAGAGAGGGCAUUCUUGUCUAGUGCCAGAUUUCAAAGGGAAUGCUUCCAAUUUUUGCCCAUUCCGUAUGAUAUUGGCUGUUUGUCAUAAAUAGCUGUUAUUAUUGUGAGAUACAUUCCAUCAAUACCUAGUUUAUUGAGGGUUUUUAGCAUAAAGAGCUGCUGAAUUUUGUCAAAGGCCUUCUCUGCAUCAAUUAAGAUAAUCAUGUGGUUUUUGUCUUUGGUUCUGUUUAUGUGGUGAAUUACAUUUAUAGACUUGUGUAUGCUGAACCAGCCUUGCAUUCCUGGGAUAAAGCCUACUUGAUCAUGAUGGAUAAGCUUUAUGAUGUGCUGUUGCCAUCAGUUUUCCAGUAUUUUAUUGAAGAUUUUUGCAUCUAUGUUCAUCAUGGAUAUUGGUCUGAAGUUUUCUUUUCUUGCGAGUAUCUGCCAGGUUUUGGUAUCAGGAUGAUGUUGGUCUCAUAAAACGAUUUGGGAAAGAUUCCCUUUUUUUGGAUUGUUUGUAAUAAUUUCAGAAGGAAUGGUACCAGCUCCUUUUUGUAUGUCUGGCAGAAUUUGGCUGUGAACCCAUCUGGACCUGGGAUUUUUCUGGGUGGUAGGCUCUUAAUUGCUGCCUCAACUUCAGACCUUGUUAUUGGUCUAUUGGGGUUUCAACUUCUUCCUGGUUUAGGCUUCAGAGGAUGCAAGUAUCCAGGAAGUUAUCAAUUUCUUCCAGGUUUACUAGUUUAUGUGCAUAGAGUUGUUUGUAAUAAUCUCUGAUGAUGGUUUGAAUUUCUGUGGAAUCUGUGGUGAUUUCCCCUUGAUCAUUUUUUAUUGAAUCUAUUUAGUUAUUCUCUCUUUUCUUUUUUAUUAAUCUGGCUAGCAGUCUAAUUUGCUGAUCUUUUCAAAAAACCAGCUCCUGGAUUUAUUGAUUUUGUAAAGGGAUUUUUGUGUCUCUGUCUCCUUCAGUUCUGCUCUGAUCUUAGUUAUUUCUUCUCUUCUGCUAGGUUUUGGGUUUUUUUAAUCUUGCUCCUCUAGCUCUUUGAAUUUUGAUGAUAGGGUGUCAAUUUUAGAUCCCUCCUUGCUUCUUAUAUGGUUAUUUAUUGCUAUAUAUUUUUCGCUAUACCCUGCUUUAUAUGUUUCCCAGAGAUUCUGGUAUGUUUUGUAUUCGUUCUCGUUGGUUUCGAAGAACAUCUUUAUUUCUGCCUUCAUUUCGUUGUUUAUCUAGUCAACAUUCAAGAGCCAGUUGUUCAGUUUCCAUGAAGCUGUGUGGUUCUGAGUUAGUUUCUGAAUUCUGAGUUCUAACUUUAUUGCACUGUGGUUUGAGAGACUGUUACAAUUUCCGUUCUUUUCCAUUUGCUGAGGAGUGAUUUACUUCCAAUUAUGUGGUCAAUUUUAGAGUAGGUGCAAUGUGGUGCUGAGAAGAAUGUAUAUUCUCUGGAUUAGGGGUGGACAGUUCUGUAAAUGUGUAUUAGGUUUGCUUGUUCCAGGUCUGAGUUCAAGUCCUGGAUAUACUUGUUAAUUUUCUAUCUCAUUGAUCUGUCUAAUAUUGACAAUGGGGUGUUAGACUCCCACACGAUAAUAGUGGGAGACUUUAAGUCUCUUUGUAAGUCAUUAAGAACUUGGCUUAUGUAUCUGGGUGCUUCUGUAUUUGGUGCCUAUAUAUUUAGGAUCAUUAGCUCUUCUUGUUACAUCGAUUCUUUUACCAUUAUGUAAUGUCCUUCUUUGUCUCUUUUGAUCUUUGUUUGUUUAAAGUCUAUUUUAUCACAGAUGAGAAUUGCAACGUUUGCUUUUUUUUUUUUUUUUUUUUUUUUUGGUGCUCCAGUUGCCUAGUAAAUCUUUCUCCAUUCCUUUAUUUUGAGCCUUUAUGUAUCCUUGCAUGUGAGAUGGGUUUCCUGGAUACAGCACACCGAUGGGUUUUGGCUUUUUAUCCAAUUUGCCAGUCUGUGUCUUUUGAUUGGGGCAUGUAGCCCAUUUACAUUUGGGGUUAAUAUUGUUAUGUGUGAAUUUGAUCCUGCCAUUUUGAUGCUAGCUGGCUGUUUUGCCCGUUAGUUGAUGCAGAUUCUUCAUUGUAUUGAUCCUCUUUACCAUUUGGUAUGUUUUUGGAGUGGCUGGUACUGGUUGUUCCUUUCGGUGUUUAGUGCCUCUUUCAGGAGUUCUUGUAAAGCAGGCCUGGUGGUGAUGAAAUCUCUGAGUACUUACUUGUUUGUAAAGGAUUUUAUUUUUCCUUCACUUAUAAAGUUUAGUUUGGCUGGAUAUGAAAUUCUGGGUUGAAAGUUCUUUUCGUCAAGGAUGUUGAAUAUUGGCCCCCACUCUCUUCUGGCUUGUAGGCUUUCUGCUGAGAGAUCUUCUGUGAGUCUGAUGGGCUUCCCUUUGUGUGUAAUCUGGCCUUUCUCUCUGGCUGCCCUUAGCAUUUUCUCCUUCAUUUCAACCCUGGUGAAUCUGAGGAUUAUGUGUCUUGGGGUUGCUCUUCUUGAGGAAUAUCUUUGUGGUGUUCUCUGUAUUUCCUGGACAUGAAUAUUGGCCUGCCUUGCUAGGUUGGGGACGUUUUCUUGGAUAAUAUCCUGAAGAGUAUUUUCCAGCUUGGAUUCAUUCUCUCUGUCACAUUCAGGUGCACCUAUGAAACGUAGAUUAGGUCUCUUCACAUAGUCCCACAUUUCUUGGAGACUUUGUUCAUUCCUUUUUACACUUUUUUCUCUAAUCUUGCCUUCUCGUUUUAUUUCAUUGAGUUGAUCUUCGACCUCUGAUAUCCUUUCUUCUGCUUGGUCAAUUUGGCUGUUGAAACUUGUGUAUGCUUUGUGAAGUUCUCAUGUUGUGUUUUUCAGCUCUAUCAAUUCACUUAUAUUCCUCUCUAAGUUGUUUAUUCUCAUUAGCAUUUUGUCAAAUCUUUUUUCAAAGUUCUUAGUUUCUUUGCAUUGGCUUAGAACAUGUUCUUUUGGCUCAGAGAAGUUUCUUAUUACCCACUUUCUGAAGGUUGAUUCUGUCAAUUCAUCACACUCACUCUCCAUCUAGCCUUGUUUCCUUGCUGUUGACAAGUUGUGACCCCUUGGAGGAGGAGAGGCAUUCUGGUUUCAGGUGUUUUCAUCCUUUUUGCGAUGGUUUCUUCCCAUCUUUGUGGAUUUAUCCACCUGUCGUCUUUGUGGUUGUUGACUUUCAGAUUGCGUCUCUGAGUGGAUGUCCAGUUUUUUGAUAAUGAAGUUAUUUCUUUCUGUUUUUUAGUUUUCCUUCUAACAGGCCCCUCUGCUGUAGGACUGCUGAUGUCCACUCCAGACCCUGCUUGCCUGGCGAUCACCUGCAGCAGCUGCAGAAUGGUAAGGGUUGCUGUCAGUUUCUUCUGCUGCUAUCUUUGUCCCAGAAGGAUACCUGCCAGAUGUCAGUCUGAGCUCUCCUUUAUGAGGUGACUCUUUGGAUAUACAGGGUCAGGGAGCUGUUUGAGGAGACAGUCUGUCCGUUAUAGGAGCUCAAGUACUGAGCUGUGAGCUCUGUUGUUCAUUCAGAGCUGCUGGGCAGGUACGUUUAAGUCUGCUGCAGCAGAACUCAUAUCAUAAACCCUCCCCACUUUGCUUUUUUCCCCUAGAUGCUCUGUCCCAGGGAGUUAGGGCUUUAUUUAUGAGUUUCUGUUGUGUUGCUUCCUUUUUUUUUAGGGUUGUCCUGCUCAGCGAGGAGGUGGCCUAGUCACUGUCAGCCUGCAGAGGCUUUGCUGAGCUGCUGUGGGCUCCACCCAGAUGCCAUGUGAACUUCCCUGCAGUCUUGUUUGUAUGGGUAUAGUUAGAACUGCCUUGGCAAUGGUGGCCCACCUCUAUAAUGGCGGUCUCUCUCUGUUAUGGUGGGCUGCCUCAGCAAUGGCAAACUACCUCCCUAGUGGUGGACUGCCUCAGUAAUGGCAGAUACCCCUCCCCCACAGAGCUGGACUGUUCCAGGUUCUGCAGUGCUUGCUGUGAAAUGCUCAAUAGAGAGCAUUUCCGAUUGCUGUUUUUUUGUGGGGGUGGAACCAGCUGAGCCUGAUCACCUGGCUCCCUGCCUCAGAGCCUUUUUUUCUUUCUUUCUUUAGUUGAAUGGUCGAUUCGGUCUCCCAGGUGUUCCAGUUGUCUGUUGAAAAGGCGCGGGGGUGGGUGGGAGAAGGAUCCAAGAUGGCGGUUUAAGAGCAACCCAGGAUUGCAGCUCCCAUAGAAAACACAGAGGGUGAGUGGAUGCUGCAUUUCCAGACGGAUAUUUAUUGCCCACAGACCAGGAGAUUCCCAGGCAGAGGAGCCCCAGUGGUCGCCAGCACGGCUAUUUUGCUGGUGUCCCAGCACGGCGGUUCUCCAUACAAAAUACACUGGUCUGAUUGCCCUUUUACGCUGGCAAUUGGAGCUCCAGGAAGGUAGAGUCAUCCACUCAUCUGAUUAAACAGGGGACAGAAACAGGGGGCCAGGCCAGGAGAUUCCAAGGCAGCGCUGUUGUUUCAACCAGCACAGUGGGUCACAGCAUGGGAAACCACAUAGAUCCUGGCACCUUUUCAACAGGUGACUGGAACACCUGGGAGAAAGUCAACCAUUCAACCUUAGGAAAAAAAGGCUCUGAGGCAGGGAGCCAGGUAAGCAGGCUUGGCAGGUCCCAUAUCCCCCCCCCAGCCCCCCACAAAAAAAGCAAUUGGAAACGCCCAGGGUUGAGAGUUACAUGGCAAGCACAUCUGAACACGGAACGUCCAGCUCUGUGGGGGAGGGGCGUCUGCCAUUACCAAGCCACUCCAUUCUUACAGAGUUAGUCUGCCAUUGCUGAGGCAGCCCGUUAUUGCCAAGGCAACCUGCCACUACAGAGAGAGUCUGCCAUUACAGAGGUGGGCCACCAUUGCUGAGGCAGUUCUAACCACACCCAUAUAAACAGGACUGCAGGGAAGUUCACAUGGCAGUAGGGCAGAGCCCACAGCAUCUCACCAAAACCUCUGCAGGCAGGCAGUGACUAGGCUGCCUCCUUGCUGGGCAGGGCAGCCCUGGAAAAAAAAAAAGGUGGCAGCACAAUGGAAACUCAUAAAUAAAGCCCUAACUCCCCGGUACAGAGCACCUGGGCAAACAAAGGGGGUUGAUGAGUUCUGCUGAAGCAGACUUAAACGUACCUGCCCAGCUCACAACAGAGCUCACAGCUCAGCACUUGAGCUCCUAUAAAGGACAGACUGUCUCCUUAAGCAGCUCCCUAACCCCCAUAUAUCCAAAGAGUCACCUCAUGAAGGACUGAUCACACUGACAUUUGGCAGGCAUAAUUCUGGGACAAAGCAGAAGAAGAAACUGAUAGCAACCCUUACUGUUCUGCAGCUGCUGUAGGUGAUCCCCAGGCAAGCAGGGCUUGGAGUGGACCUCAGCAGUCCUACAGCAUAGGGGUCAGACUGUUAGAAGGAAAAAUAAGAAACAGAAAUACCUUCAUCAUCGACUGGACGUCCACUCAGACAUCCAAUCUGAAAAUCAGCAACUACAAAGAUGACAGGUGGAUAAAUCCACAAAGAUGGGAAGAAACCAGCGCAAAAAGGAUGAAAACACCCGAAACCAGAAUGCCUCUCCUCCUACAAGAGAUCACAACUUCUCACCAGCAAGGAAACAAAGCUGGUUGGAGAAUGAGUGUGAUGAAAUGACAGAAUCAGACUUCAGAAGGAGGGUAAUGAGAAACUUCUGUGAGUUAAAAGAACAUGUUCUAACCCAAUGCAAAGAAAUAAGAACCUUGAAAAAAGAUUUGAUGAAAUGCUAACGAGAGUGGACAACUUAGGAAUAUAAGUGAAUUGAAGGAGCUGAAAAACACAACACGAGAGCUUCGUGAAGCAUGCACAAGUUCAUCAGCUGAAUUGACCAAGAAGAAGAAAGGAUAUCAGAGGUCGAGGAUCAACUCAAUAAAAUAAAAUGAGAAGGCAAGAUUAGAGAAAACAGCAUAAAAAUGAAUGAACAAAGUUUCCAAGAAAUAUGGGCAUAUGUGAAAAGACCUAAUCUACAUUUGAUAGUUGUACCUGAAUGUGACAGAGAGAAUGAAUCCAAGCUGGAAAAUACUCUUCAGGAUAUUAUCCAGGAAAACUUUCCUAACCUAGCAAGGCAGGCCAAUAUUCAUGUCCAGGAAAUACAGAGAACACCACAAAGAUAUUCCUCAAGAAGAGCAACCCCAAGACACAUAAUCCUCAGAUUCACCAGGGUUGAAAUGAAGGAGAAAAUGCUAAGGGCAGCCAGAGAGAAAGGCCAGAUUACACACAAAGGGAAGCCCAUCAGACUCACAGAAGAUCUCUCAGCAGAAAGCCUACAAGCCAGAAGAGAGUGGGGGCCAAUAUUCAACAUCCUUGACGAAAAGAACUUUCAACCCAGAAUUUCAUAUCCAGCCAAACUAAACUUCAUAAGUGAAGGAAAAAUAAAAUCCUUUACAAACAAGUAAGUACUCAGAGAUUUCAUCACCACCAGGCCUGCUUUACAAGAACUCCUGAAAGAGGCACUAAACACUGAAAGGAACAACCAGUACCAGCCACUCCAAAAACAUACCAAAUGGUAAAGAGGAUCAAUACAAUGAAGAAUCUGCAUCAACUAAUGGGCAAAACAGCCAGCUAGCAUCAAAAUGGCAGGAUCAAAUUCACACAUAACAAUAUUAACCCCAAAUGUAAAUGGGCUACAUGCCCCAAUCAAAAGACACAGACUGGCAAAUUGGAUAAAAAGCCAAAACCCAUCGGUGUGCUGUAUCCAGGAAACCCAUCUCACAUGCAAGGAUACAUAAAGGCUCAAAAUAAAGGGAUGGAGGAAGAUUUACCAAGCAAGUGGAGAGCAAAAAAAAAAAAGCAGGAGUUGCAAUUCUCAUCUCUGAUAAGAUAGACUUUAAAGCAACAAAUAUCAAAAGAGACAAGGACAUUACAUAAUGUCCAUUACAUAAUGCAACAAGAAGAGCUAACGAUCCUAAAAAUAUAGGCACCCAAUACAGGAGCACCCAGAUACUUAAGGCAAGUUCUUAAUGACUUACAAAGAGACUUAGAUGCCCACACAAUAACAGUGGGUAACUUUAGUACCCCAUUGUUAAUAUUAGAUCAACCAGACAGAAAAUUAACAAGGAUAUCCACGACUUGAACUCAGACCAGAACAAGCAAACCUAAUACACAUUUACAGAACGCUCCAUCCCAAAUCCACAGAAUAUACAUUGUUCUCAGCACCACAUCACACCUACUCUAAAAUUGACCACAUAAUUGUAAAUUAAUCACUCCUCAGCAAAUGCAAAAGAACAGAAAUCAUAACAGUCUCUCAAACCACAGUGUAAUCAAGUUAGAACUCAGAAUUCAGAAACUAACUCAGAACCGCACAGCUUCAUGGAAACUGAACAACUGGCUAUUGAAUGUUGACUGGAUAAACAAUGAAAUGAAGGCAGAAAUAAAGAUGUUCUUUGAAACCAACAAGAACAACGACAAAAUAUACCAGAAUCUCUGGGACACAGUUAAAGCAGUCUUUAGAGGAAAAUAUAUAGCAAUACGUGCCCUCAUGAGAAGCAAGGAGAGAUCCAAAAUUGACACCCUAUCAUCAAAAUUGAAAGAGCUAGAGGAGCAAAAUAAAGAAAAAAAAGCUCAAAACCUAGCAGAAGACAAGACAUAACUAAGAUCAGAGCAGAACUGAAGGAAAUAGAGACACAAAAAUCCCUUCAAAAAAUCAAUAAGUUCAGGAGCUGGUUUUUCGAAUAGAUCAACAAAAUAGACCCUAGCCAGAUUAAUAAGAAAGAAAAGAGAGAAUAACCAAAUAAAUGCAAUAAAAAAACGAUAGAGGGGAUAUCACCACAGAUUCCACAGAAAUUCAAACCAUCAUCAGAGAUUAUUACAAACAACUCUUUGCACAUAAACUAGUAAACCUGGAAGAAAUGGAUAAAUUCUUGGACACUUGCCUCCUCCCAAGCCUAAACCAGGAAGAAGCCAAAACGCUGAACAGACCAAUAACAAGAUCUGAAGUUGAGGCAGCAAUUAAGAGCCUACUACAUAAAAAAAAUCCCAGGUCCAAAUGGGUUCAUAGCCGAAUUCUACCACACACACAAAGAGGAGCUGGUACCUUUCCUUCUGAAACUAUUCCAAAUAAUCCAAAAAGAGGGAAUACUUCCCAAAUCAUUUUAUGAGAACAGCAUCAUCCUCAUAUCAAAACCCAGCAGAGACUCAACAAGAAAAGAAAACUUCAAGACAAUAACCAUGAUGAACAUAGAUGAAAAAUCUUCAAUAAAAUACUGGAAAACUGAUGGCAACAGCACAUCAUAAAGCUUAUCCAUCAUGAUCAAGUAGGAUUCAUCCCGGGGAUACAAGGCUGGUUCAACAUACACAAGUCUAUAAACGUAAUUCACCACAUAAACAGAACCAAAGACAAAAACCACAUGAUUAUCUUAAUUGAUGCAGAGAAGGCCUUUGACAAAAUUCAACAGCCCUUUAUGCUAAAAACCCUCAAAAAACUAGGUAUUGAUGGGACAUAUCUCAAAAUAAUAAAAGCUGUUUAUGACAAACCAACAGCCAAUAUCACACUGAAUGGGCAAAAAUUGGAAGCAUUCCCUUUGAAAUCUGGCACUAGAUAAGGAUGCCCUCUCUCACCACUCCUAGUCAGUAUAGUACUGAAAGUUCUAGCCAGAUCAAUCAGGCAAGAAAAAGAAAUAAAGGGUAUUCAAAUAGGAAAGGAGGAAGCCAAACUGUCUCCAUUUGCAGACAAUAUAAUUGUAUACCUAGAUCUCAUUGUCUCAGCCCAAAAUCUCCUGAAAGUGAUAAGCAACUUGAGCAAGGUCUCAGGAUACAAAAUCAAUGUGCAAGAAUCACAAGCAUUUCUGUACACCAAAAACAGACUUAGAGCCAAAUCAAGAAGGAACUACUAUUCACAAUUGCUACAAAGAGAAUAAAACACCCAGGAAUACAACUAACAAGGAAUGUAAAGGACCUCUUCAAGGAGAACUACAAACCACUGCUCAAUGAAAUAAGAGAGGACACAAACAGAUGGAGAAACAUUCCAUGUUCAUGGUUAGGGAGAAUCAAUACCGUGAAAAUGGCCAUACUGCCCAAAGUAAUUUAUAGAUUCAAUUUUAUAUCUCCAUCAAGCUACCAAUGACCUUCUUCACAGAACUGGAAAAAAACCCACCAUGAACUUCAUAUGGAACCAAAAGAGAGCCCACAUAGUUAAGUCAAUUCUAAGCAAAAAGAACACAGCAGGGGGCAUCAUAUUACCAGACUUCAAACUAUACUACAAGGCUACAGUAAUCAAAACAGCAUGAUACUGGUACCAAAACAGAGAUAUAGACCAAUGGAACAGAACAGAGGCUUUGGAGGCAACACAACAUAUCUACAAACAUCUAAUAUUUGACAAACCUGACAAAAACAAGCAAUGGGGAAAGGAGUCCCUGUUUGUUUAAUAAAUGGUGUUGGGAAAACUGGCCAUGUGCAUAAAGCAGAAACUGGACCCCUUCCUGACACCUUACACUAAAAUUAACUCCAGAUGGAUUAAAGACUUAAACAGAAGACCUAACACCAUAAAAACCCUAGAAGAAAACCUAGGCAAAACCAUUCAGGACAUAGGAGUAAGCAAGGACUUCAUGAACAAAACACCAAAAGCAUUGGCAACAAAAGCCAAAACAGAUAAAUGGGACCUAAUCAAACUCCACAGCUUCUGCAUGGCAAAAGAAACAGUCAUUAGAGUGAAUCGGCAACCAACAGAAUGGGAAAAAUUUUUGCAGUUUACUUAUCUGACAGAGGGCUGAUAUCCAGAAUUUACAAAGAACUAAAACAGAUUUACAAGAAAAAAACAAGCCCAUUCAAAAGUGGGCAAAGAAUAUGAACAGACACUUUACAAAAGAAGACAUACAUGAGGCCAAUAAACAUAUGAAAAAAUGCUCAUCAUCACUGGUCAUUAAAGAAAUGCAAAUCAAAACUACAUUGAGGUACCAUCUCAUGCCAGUUAGAAUGGCAAUCAUUAAAAAAUCUGGAGACAAUAGAUACUGGAGAGGAUAUGGAGAAAUAGGAACACUUUUACACUGCUGGUGGGAGUGUAAAUCAGUUCAACCAUUGUGAAAGACAGUGUGGCAAUUCCUCAAGGACCAAGAAAUAGGAAUUCCAUUUGACCCAGCAAUUCCAUUACUGGGUAUAUAUCCAGAGGAUUAUAAAUCAUUCUACUAUAAGGACACAUGCACACGAAUGUUCAUUGCAGCAGUGUUUGCAAUAGCAAAGACCUGGAACCAACCCAAAUGUCCAUCAAUGAUAGACUGGAUAGGGGAACUGUGGCACAUAUACACUAUGGAAUAUUAUGCAGCCAUCAAAAACGAUGAGUUCAUGUCCUUUGUAGGGACAUGGAUGAACCUGGAGACCAUCAUUCUCAGCAAACGUACACAAGAACAGAAAAUGAAAUACCGCAUGUUUUCACUCAUAGGCAGGUGUUGAACAAUGAGAACACAUAGACACAGGGAGGGGAGCACUACACACUAGGGUUUGUUGGGGGGAAUAGGGGAGGGACAGUGGGGGGUGGGGAGUUAGGGAGCGAUAGCAUGGGGAGAAAUGCCAGAUAUAGGUGAAGGGGAGGAAGUCAACAUAUCACACUGCCACGUGUGUACCUAUGCAACUAUCUUCAUGUUCUUCAUAUGUACCCCAAAACCUAAAAUGCAAAAAAAAAAAGGUGCCGGGAUCUGUGUGAUUUCCUGUGCGGCAACCCACUGCCGGGGGCUGAUACAGUGGCACUGAGAUUCGUAGUGCUUUUUUGCCCAGGAAUCUCCUGGCUUGGUUCACUGUUUCAGUCCCCUUUUUAAUCAGAUGAAUGGGAAUUCUGCCUUCCUGGAGCUCCAAUCGCCAGCUAAAAUGGCCCCACACCCAUGUAUUUUGUAGGUCAAACUGCUGCACCAGGGUGCCGGAAAAACAGCCUCGCCUGCCAAAACAGCCAUGCCAGUGACCCGUGGGGCUUCUCUGCCUGGGAAUCUCCUGGUCUGUGGGCAAUAAAAAUCCAUCUGGAAAUGUGGCAUCCACUCACCCUCUGUGUUUUCACUUGGCACAGCAAUCUUGAGCUGCUCCUAAUCUGCCAUCUUGGCUCUCAUUCCUGCUAGUGAUUUUUGCACAUUGAUUUUGUAUCCUGAGACUUUCCCAAAGUUGUUUAUCAGUUUGAGAAGAUUUUGGGCUGAGGAUGGGGUCUUGUACAUAUACAAUUAUGUCAUCUGCAAAUAAAGACAAUUUGACUUUCUCCUUUCCUAAUCGAAUGCCCUUUAUUUAUUUUUUUCCUUGCCUGAAUGCUCUGGCUAGAACUUCCAAUACUAUGUUGAAUAGGAGUGGUGAGAGAGGGCAUCCUCGUCUACUGCCUGAUUUCAAAGGAAAUUCUUCUAGCUUUUUCCCAUUCAGUAUGAUAUUGGCUAUAGGUUUGUUAUAUAUAGCUUUUAUCAAAAUUAACUCCAGAUGGAUCAAAGAUUUAAACAUAAAACAUAGCAUCAUAAAAAUACUAGAAGAAAGCAUAGGCAAUAUUGAGGACAUAGGCAUAGGCAAGGACUUCAUGACUAAAACAACCAAAAGCAAUGGCAGUAAAAGCCGGGAUAGACAAGUGGGAUCUAAUUAAACUCCAGAGCUUCUGCACAGCAAAAGAAACCAUCAUUAGAGUGAAUCAAUAACCAACAGAAUGGGAAAAAAGUUUUUCCAAUUUACCCAUCUGACAAAGGACUAAUAUCCAGAAUCUACAAAGAACUAAAACAUAUAUACAAGAAAAAAACAACCUUAUUCAAAAGUGGGCAGAGGAUAUGAACACUUUUCAAAAGAGGACAUAUAUGAAGCCAACAAACAUAUGAAAAAAUGCUCAUCAUCACUGGUCAUUAGAGAAAUGCAAAUCAAAACUACACUGAGAUAUCAUCUCACACCAGUUAGAACGGUGAUCAUUAAAAAAUCUGGAGACAACAGAUGCUGGAGACGAUGUGGAGAAAUAGGAACACUUUUACACAGUUUGUGGGCAUGUAUUAGUUCAUCCAUUGUGAAAGACAGUGUGAUGAUUUCUCAAGGAUCUAGAAUAUUUGACCCAGCAAUCCCACUAUUGGAUAUAUACCCAAAGAACUAUAAAUUAUUCUACUAUAAAGACACAUGCACACGUAUGUUCAUUGCAGCUCUGUGUACAAUAGCAAAGACCUGGAACCAACCCAAAUGCCCAUCAAUGAUAGACUGGACAAAGAAAAUGUGGUACAUAUACCCCAUGCAAUACUACGCAGCCAUAAAAAACAAUGAGUUCGUGUCCUUUGUAGGGACUUGGAUGAAUCUGGAAACCAUCAUUCUCAGCAGAUUGACCCAAGAACAGAAAGCCAAACACUGCAUGUUCUCAGUCAUAGGUGGGUGUUGAACAAUGAGAACACCUGGACUCAGGGAGAGGAGCAUCAC
Molecule: non-coding RNA, 28974 nt
Organism: Callithrix jacchus (white-tufted-ear marmoset)
Lineage: Eukaryota; Metazoa; Chordata; Mammalia; Primates; Cebidae
Source: RefSeq, a predicted model, not a curated record